Molecule: ribosomal RNA, 578 nt
Filed under: Nocardia sp. 19G-24
Lineage: Bacteria; Bacillati; Actinomycetota; Actinomycetes; Mycobacteriales; Nocardiaceae
Description: bacterial SSU rRNA
Rfam family: Bacterial small subunit ribosomal RNA
Source: RNAcentral
GGUGACCGGCCACACUGGGACUGAGACACGGCCCAGACUCCUACGGGAGGCAGCAGUGGGGAAUAUUGCACAAUGGGCGCAAGCCUGAUGCAGCGACGCCGCGUGCGGGAUGACGGCCUUCGGGUUGUAAACCGCUUUUGACAGGGACGAAGCGCAAGUGACUGUACCUGUAGAAUAAGGACCGGCUAACUACGUGCCAGCAGCCGCGGUAAUACGUAGGGUCCGAGCGUUGUCCGGAAUUACUGGGCGUAAAGAGCUUGUAGGCGGUUUGUCGCGUCGUUUGUGAAAACUUGGGGCUCAACCUUAAGCUUGCAGGCGAUACGGGCGGACUAGAGUACUUCAGGGGAGACUGGAAUUCCUGGUGUAGCGGUGAAAUGCGCAGAUAUCAGGAGGAACACCGGUGGCGAAGGCGGGUCUCUGGGAAGUAACUGACGCUGAGAAGCGAAAGCAUGGGUAGCAAACAGGAUUAGAUACCCUGGUAGUCCAUGCCGUAAACGGUGGGAACUAGGUGUGGGGCUCCUUCCACGGACUCCGUGCCGUAGCUAACGCAUUAAGUACCCCGCCUGGGGGAGUACGGA